AUUGCAUUCGGGCCGUCGGUCCACCGAGCAAUUUCAAGUGCUUAGUUGAAGAUCUUCCUUUUGUCGU
Molecule: microRNA precursor, 67 nt
Filed under: Bombyx mori (domestic silkworm)
Lineage: Eukaryota; Metazoa; Arthropoda; Insecta; Lepidoptera; Bombycidae
Description: mir-2774 microRNA precursor family
Rfam family: mir-2774 microRNA precursor family
Source: Rfam by way of RNAcentral